This 253-nucleotide ribosomal RNA is filed under the name uncultured bacterium. Its description in RNAcentral is "partial 16S ribosomal RNA". It matches the Rfam family "Bacterial small subunit ribosomal RNA", at positions 524 to 776 of the family's 1533-position model. The record is from RNAcentral.
UACGGGGGGGGCAAGCGUUGUUCGGAAUUACUGGGCGUAAAGGGCUCGUAGGCGGCCAACUAAGUCAGACGUGAAAUCCCCAGGCUCAACCUGGGAACUGCGUCUGAUACUGGAUGGCUUGAAUCCGGGAGAGGGAUGCAGAAUUCCAGGUGUAGCGGUGAAAUGCGUAGAUAUCUGGAGGAAUACCGGUGGCGAAGGCGGCAUCCUGGCCCUGACCUGACGCUGAGGCGCGAUAGCGUGGGGAGCAAACGGG